GACGAACGCUGGCGGCGUGCUUAACACAUGCAAGUCGAACGGAAAGGCCCUGCUUUUGUGGGGUGCUCGAGUGGCGAACGGGUGAGUAACACGUGAGUAACCUGCCCUUGACUUUGGGAUAACUUCAGGAAACUGGGGCUAAUACCGGAUAGGAGCUCCUGCUGCAUGGUGGGGGUUGGAAAGUUUCGGCGGUUGGGGAUGGACUCGCGGCUUAUCAGCUUGUUGGUGGGGUAGUGGCUUACCAAGGCUUUGACGGGUAGCCGGCCUGAGAGGGUGACCGGCCCCAUUGGGACUGAGAUACGGCACAGACUCCUACGGGAGGCAGCAGUGGGGAAUAUUGCACAAUGGGCGGAAGCCUGAUGCAGCAACGCCGCGUGCGGGAUGACGGCCUUCGGGUUGUAAACCGCUUUCGCCUGUGACGAAGCGUGAGUGACGGUAAUGGGUAAAGAAGCACCGGCUAACUACGUG
Molecule: ribosomal RNA, 468 nt
Filed under: uncultured bacterium
Lineage: Bacteria
Description: partial 16S ribosomal RNA
Rfam family: Bacterial small subunit ribosomal RNA
Source: RNAcentral